CAUUAACUCACCAGUGCCAAACAGAACCUCACAGGCACAGAAACUCCAGGCAGGAAGUGAGAAGUUCACCAUCCUAGCCUAAGGGUGCUGUCAGGUGAAGACUGCAAACGGCUGUACGAAGCCUGAGUGAGAUGAGCCGGCUGCCAAUGCUCUGGCUGCAAUGCCAGAGGAGGCCAGCGGGCUGGGAAGUCCCGUGUAAGAGGAUGUGUUCAAUACAACUCACACCCACCGCCUGCCAAAUCCUGUUUUACAACCAUACUGCAUCCAUCUCCUCGUCUCCAUUUUCACAGCCACUUCUCUGGGCGCUCAUUGCCUCUUGCAACAACAAACUGAAAUGCCAUGGCUGGACCCAGUGUGUUCAGAAGCUCUUUGGAAAGGAUGCCCAUGGCAUCCCAACCCAGACAUCCUGUGCUGGCACCCUUGACUCCACCCCCUAGCGUUAGAAGGAAAUUGCACCUCUAAGAGACUGGGUGCUGGCGUUGCCAGAAAUGACUUCCUCACCUCCUCUCUGCGCCCGCUCUGGGAGAACACAACUGUGAUAUGCAGUCCUCUGAGCAACCUUCUCACCAACCGCGGGGAUCCAUCCUGCCCGCUUCCCAGGUGGCUCCCACACCUCCCUCAUCGCUAUUUGCCUUUGCACACCUUCGCUCUUCACCAAGCGCUUUAUCCAGGUCACUGAAAGGCAUUUCUCACUAAGAACAUGGAUCUUUAUUUAACUACACACGGGUCAUAGAGGGAAAGAGAAAAGAAAGCAUACAACAAUAUGGAAAUCAACAACACGAAGCAAGAAAGAUCUCUUUGUAUCAUCGCAAAACCAUUUUGCCAUUAGGAAGCUAUUUUAUUUCAUUUUUGGCUUUCUUUCCAUUUUGCUUGUAUAUGUUCAAAAUACAUUCCAUUGUGUUACACGA
Non-coding RNA from Myodes glareolus (Bank vole), 908 nucleotides. The record is from RefSeq and is a predicted model, not a curated record. NCBI's taxonomy places the organism in Eukaryota, Metazoa, Chordata, Mammalia, Rodentia, Cricetidae.